UAGUCCUAUCAUACCAACCACUUUAAGUGGUUCUGACUCGUGUGCAUGUAUACUUAUUGAGCUAUGGAUACGUCGUACAGGUCACUAGAGGUGACUCCGACUUAUGAGCUAGCAUAUGUGAUGAAAUAUGUGAUAAGCUAGCAUAUGUGAUGAGAUAUAUGGUGAGCUAGCAUAUGUGAUGAGAUUUGAAUAGUCGUACAGGUCACUAUAGAUGACUCUGACUUAUUAGGUAGCAUUGGUUGAUGAGAUAUAAUUGUAGUCGUACAGAUCACCACAGGUGACUCCGACUAGCGUGCUAGUAUGGGUUGUUAAGCACUUGAUUAUUUAUAUUGCUAAUGAGAUGAUGUGAUGUGGUAUACUUCUGGAUGUAAUGCUAGUAUACUUUUGAUUUCGUGUUUAUCCGUGGUAUGAUUUUCUGGAAGCUAAACAGGUGUUACGGUGAGGGAUU
This 448-nucleotide long non-coding RNA is filed under the name Malus domestica (apple). Its description in RNAcentral is "long non-coding RNA (MDOM_LNC005079)". Lineage: Eukaryota; Viridiplantae; Streptophyta; Magnoliopsida; Rosales; Rosaceae. The record is from RNAcentral.